Molecule: small RNA, 28 nt
Filed under: Bombyx mori (domestic silkworm)
Lineage: Eukaryota; Metazoa; Arthropoda; Insecta; Lepidoptera; Bombycidae
Description: ovarian small RNA-30061
Source: RNAcentral
UCUGUUACAUCAGAUGUUGUAGGUGUGC